GAAGAACUUUAAAGAUUUUUCAAUUUAUUUCUUUACUUCAAAUCGAAUUCUUUGAACUUUUCAAGAUUUUAGAUUUGUAUCUCACACAUAUACCCAUAGUCACCAAUAUGAAUAAUGAAGUAAAGAGAAUCAACUCUAACUAGCUCAUCAAAUGUGUUGUAUACAUUAGUAUGUAUCAGGGCAAGGUCCUCCCCCCAUGUCC
RNAcentral lists this long non-coding RNA (202 nucleotides) under Elaeis guineensis (African oil palm). Its description in RNAcentral is "long non-coding RNA (EGUI_LNC066668)". Lineage: Eukaryota; Viridiplantae; Streptophyta; Magnoliopsida; Arecales; Arecaceae. The record is from RNAcentral.